GCAUGGUUGUCGUCAGCUCGUGUCGUGAGAUGUUGGGUUAAGUCCCGCAACGAGCGCAACCCCUAUUGCCAGUUGCCAGCAGGUUAAGCUGGGCACUCUGGCGAGACUGCCGUUGACAAAAACGGAGGAAGGUGGGACGACGUCAAAUCAUCAUGCCCCUUAUGUCCUGGGCUACACACGUACUACAAUGGCAACAACAGAGGGCGGCCAGACCGCGAGGUCGAGCGAAUCCCAAAAUGUUAUCUCAGUUCAGAUUGCAGGCUGAAACUCGCCUGCAUGAAGUCGGAAUUGCUAGUAAUGGCAGGUCAGCAUACUCGCUCCGAUAGUCCGGCCUU
Molecule: ribosomal RNA, 335 nt
Filed under: uncultured Fastidiosipila sp.
Lineage: Bacteria; Bacillati; Bacillota; Clostridia; Eubacteriales; Oscillospiraceae
Description: bacterial SSU rRNA
Rfam family: Bacterial small subunit ribosomal RNA
Source: RNAcentral